RNAcentral lists this small RNA (95 nucleotides) under Arabidopsis thaliana (thale cress). Its description in RNAcentral is "ATSL202210". The record is from RNAcentral. Lineage: Eukaryota; Viridiplantae; Streptophyta; Magnoliopsida; Brassicales; Brassicaceae.
CUAAAAGUAGAGCUAGGUUGUAGAACUUGUAUUCCAUGAUCCCUAGCCUUUUAGCUGUAGAGAGAGGCAUAAGGAUAACAGAUGCUGCCAAAUCA